This 484-nucleotide ribosomal RNA is filed under the name uncultured bacterium. Its description in RNAcentral is "partial 16S ribosomal RNA". It matches the Rfam family "Bacterial small subunit ribosomal RNA", at positions 30 to 507 of the family's 1533-position model. The record is from RNAcentral.
AUUGAACGCUGGCGGCAGGCCUAACACAUGCAAGUCGAGCGGAUGAAGGGAGCUUGCUCCUGGAUUCCGCGUCGGACGGGUGUGUAAUGCCUAGGAAUCUCCCUGGUAGUGCUGUAUAACGUCCUGAAACGGCCGCUAAUACCGCCUACGUCCUGCUGGAGAUAGUUGGGGAUCUUCGGACCUCUCGCUCUCAGAUGAGCCUAGGUCGGAUUUGCUAGUUGGUUGGUUAAUGGCCUACCUAGCCGACGAUCCGUAACUGGUCUGAGAGAAUGAUCAGUCACACGAGAGCUGGGACACGGUCCAGACGACUAAGGGAGGCAGCAGACGGGAAUAUUAGACAGUAGGGGGAAGCCUGAUCCAGCCAUGCGGAGUGUGUGGAGAAGGUCUUCGGAUUGUAAAGAACGCUAAGUUGGGAGGAAGGGCAGUAAGUUAAGACCUAGCUGUUGUGACGGUAACAACAGAAGAAGCACCGGCUAACUACGUG